UGAGUACGAGCGGCUACGGCCGCGAAGUGGAUGAUGUCAGGCUUCCAAGAAAAGCCCUAUACCCGUUAAGGCAUGAUGGCCUGUACCCGAAACCGACACAGGUGGGGUGGUAGAGAAUACCGAGGGGCGCGAGGUAACUCUCUCUAAGGAACUCGGCAAAAUGGCCCCGUAACUUCGGGAGAAGGGGUGCCACCGCGAGGUGGUCGCAGUGAAGAGGCCCAGGCGACUGUUUACCAAAAACACAGGUCUCCGCUAAGUCGCAAGACGAUGUAUGGGGGCUGACGCCUGCCCAGUGCCGGAAGGUUAAGGAAGCUGGUCAGCGCAAGCGAAGCUGGCGACUGAAGCCCCGGUGAACGGCGGCCGUAACUAUAACGGUCCUAAGGUAGCGAAAUUCCUUGUCGGGUAAGUUCCGACCCGCACGAAAGGCGUAACGAUCUGGGCGCUGUCUCGGAGAGAGGCUCGGCGAAAUAGAAUUGUCUGUGAAGAUGCGGACUACGUGCACCCGGACAGAAAGACCCUAUGAAGCUUUACUGUAGCUUGGUAUUGUGCUCGGGCUCGGAAUGCGCAGGAUAGGUGGGAGGCUUUGAUCCAUUGCUUGCGGGUGAUGGUGAGCCACUGGUGAGAUACCACUCUUUCCGAGCUAGAGUUCUAACAGCAACCCGUUAUCCGGGUGCUGGACAGUAUCAGGUGGGCAGUUUGACUGGGGCGGUCGCCUCCUAAAAGGUAACGGAGGCGCGCAAAGGUCUGCUCAGGCUGGUUGGAAAUCAGCCGACGAGUGUAAAAGCAGAAGCAGGCUUGACUGUGAGACCUACAAGUCGAACAGGGAGGAAACUCGGCUUUAGUGAUCCGACGGUUCUGCGUGGAAGGGCCGUCGCUCAACGGAUAAAAGUUGCUCUAAGGAUAACAGGCUGAUCUCCCCCAAGAGUUCACAUCGACGGGGAGGUUUGGCACCUCGAUGUCGGCUCAUCGCAACCUGGGGCUGAAGUCGGUCCCAAGGGUUGGGCUGUUCGCCCAUUAAAGCGGUACGCGAGCUGGGUUCAGAACGUCGUGAGACAGUUCGGUCCAUAUCCGGUGCACGCGCAGGAAUAUUGAGAGGAUUUCUCCCUAGUACGAGAGGACCGGGAGGAACGCACCUCUGGUGUGCCAGUUAUCGUGCCAACGGUAAACGCUGGGUAGCCAUGUGCGGAGUGGAUAACCGCUGAAAGCAUCUAAGUGGGAAGCCCACCUCAAGAUGAGUAUUCCCAUGGCAUAAGCCAGUAAGGUCACGGGAAGAACACCCGUUGAUAGGCUCUACGUGGAAGCGCAGUAAUGUGUGAAGCGGAGGAGUACUAAUAGACCGAGGGCU
This 1345-nucleotide ribosomal RNA is filed under the name metagenome. RNAcentral describes it as "bacterial LSU rRNA". It matches the Rfam family "Bacterial large subunit ribosomal RNA", at positions 1564 to 2925 of the family's 2925-position model. The record is from RNAcentral.